AAAAAAGUACACGCCCCUUCUACGUGCUCUACUGACGUAACCUCAUCCACCCAAGCCUACAUUUGUAUGUAUCAUCAAUAAAGUUGUGUGCUUGGGUGGAUGAGGUUACGUCAGUAGAGCACGUAGAAGGGGCGUGUACUUUUUGAUGAACAGGUUCACUAUCCAUCAGCUCACGCAGAAGAAAAGAGUAAAUGGAAAAGAAGUCAACCUAAGCAGCUACAAACUGCAUUUUCAGCACAAGCUCCGAUACCUGUCUGGUCUCCACCAAACAGUCCAGCUUACACACGGAGACCCAGGCAAGGUGAGGGACACAGGCAAGGUGUCCCUCGUGACGCUAUAAUGGGAUGUUCUUUAUCGACAGCGGGCAGCUGAAAUGAUCCCUUUACCACAGGAAGGAGGCUGCAAGGGACUAAUUUACUAUGUGCAUUGCCUGCAGACUGCAAAACCAAGAGGUUACUCAGAGCUCCGUGGGAACCCUGCCUGCCUGGCCGAUAAGAGUGUGGUCCUCCUGUUAGCAAGUGUAACUUUCACCCCAUGAUGUGGUGAUUGGCGAGGGCUGGAC
Molecule: long non-coding RNA, 562 nt
Filed under: Equus asinus (donkey)
Lineage: Eukaryota; Metazoa; Chordata; Mammalia; Perissodactyla; Equidae
Description: lncRNA (ENSEASG00005025950.1)
Source: RNAcentral